Molecule: long non-coding RNA, 468 nt
Organism: Cydia splendana
Lineage: Eukaryota; Metazoa; Arthropoda; Insecta; Lepidoptera; Tortricidae
Exons: 3
Source: RefSeq, a predicted model, not a curated record
AAAUAGACGAAUAAACACAGACUAGACAACUUAUAUAAAGUGCGCUUAAGGAAAUCUCCAGCAUUAGGAAUUAUACGUGAUACAAUCAUGGUGUCUGCCAAGAUAAUCUCUUUGUUCGUUUUCGUAACAAUCAUUUCCAUGACCUUUGGAGCGGCAGCCGACGGGUGCUCUGCCGAUGAAGUUCACGACGCUUGCAGCGCCCACUGCGAGCCCACUUGUGAGUCACACGAGGCCAACCGGUUCUGCACCGCCAACUGCCUGCCUGGCUGCAAGUGUCGCGAAGGACUGCUCAGGAGGAAGGACAGACAAUGCGUUCAGCUCGAACAAUGCUAAAUAAUUAUGAGUUCGCCCACGCCUAGCUACGCCACUGAGUAUUUAACUAUAGCUAAAUAAAUAUAUGCCUGUUAUGACAAUUAAAAUCAUGUUUAGUAUAAACUGUGUGAUUUUUCUUUGUAUUAUAUUGCCUAA